This 802-nucleotide long non-coding RNA is filed under the name Apteryx owenii (little spotted kiwi). RNAcentral's name for it is "lncRNA (ENSAOWG00000012391.1)". Lineage: Eukaryota; Metazoa; Chordata; Aves; Apterygiformes; Apterygidae. The record is from RNAcentral.
GAAAGAGAAGGAUUUGUUUUGAAUCAAGGGAAAAUAUGCAAUGAAGGAAUCUAGAAGUGCCAGUAUAUUAAUACAUGACUGAAUACCUAUGCAGAAGACACAGGCAGUUGACCUUGAAGAGUCUCAUCCAAGAAAACUGUCUUGUAAAAGCAGUUCUAAAACCUGAAGAAAAAUGUGACUGGGCAAACAUCAGGAGGCCUGAAACACUUCAGUACUUCAUACCAUCAGGUCCUUAUGCCAAGGCAUUCUGCUGCUGGAGGAUGACAAUGCAGCAACAAAACAAGCCUGAGUCCUACAAGAGCUGAAAAUAACGCAGCAGCACAUGGGAAGGCACAGCUGGUACUCAGGCUUAUUGCUACCAUCAAGGCUGAAUGGCUAUCAGGAUUAAGAAGGAGCCAGGCUAAAACAAAACAGCACCAGGCAGUUUCUCCCCUCCUUCCCCGCUCCAGUUCUGCAGUUCUGCUCUUCCCUGCUAAAUACACGGUUAACUCACAUCCCACUAUUAAUUCAGUUUAAAACAGCAGAUUGCACUCAUCUGUACAAGACUACCGACUGGGCUUGUGCCCAUUCUUUUACAGCACAGAUUGCUUCCAGUAUUGAAGAGAGAACCAUCUGGGAGGAAAAGCACAUGCUAGGCUACUUAAUUGGUGCUUUCAGUAAAACAGAGUACAGUCAGGAUUGACAGACCUACAGAAAAUAAUGAAGCAGUGAUCAUAAAGUAAGGGAAGGAAAAAGGAGCAUGCCCCCAGUCCGAACUCUGAAAAGACUGGGAAAUAAAAUAGCAUUUGUGACAAACCCCUCA